AGGCCCUCCUUUCCCUGCUGGGGGCGGCGGUGGCGGCGCAGCGGCAGCGGGCUGACGAGGUGGCGGCGGGGCAAGGCGCCGAGCGGCACCUGCGGGCGCUGGGCCUGGCGGCCGUGGGCCACGGGGAGCCGCUGCCGGAGCUGUUCCGGGACCCCGGCUACGCGCGGGCAACGCACUUCCGGCUCUGCACCCUGCAGGUACCCCGAAGCGCAAAGAUUUAACCCAAAAUUACACGGACGUGCCCCGAAGUGAGACCAAGUGACAGGAAUUCGGCCCUAAGUAGCACGAAUGUGGCCCAAAGGGACACAAAGUGACAGAAAAUUGGCCCUAAAUGGCAGAAAUGGGGCCCUAAAUGGCAGAAAUGGGGCCCUAAAUAGCACGAAUGUGGCCCAAAGUGACCUCAAAUGACAGAAAUUUGGCCCUAAAUGGCAGAAAUGUGGCCCUAAAAUUACAGAAAUUUGGCCCUAAAUAGCACAAAUAUGGCCCAAAGUGACCCAAAAUGACAGAAAUUUUGCCCUAAAUAGCACAAAUGUGGCCCAAAGUGAC
Molecule: long non-coding RNA, 546 nt
Organism: Oxyura jamaicensis (ruddy duck)
Lineage: Eukaryota; Metazoa; Chordata; Aves; Anseriformes; Anatidae
Exons: 3
Source: RefSeq, a predicted model, not a curated record